Molecule: unclassified non-coding RNA, 531 nt
Filed under: Hevea brasiliensis (rubber tree)
Lineage: Eukaryota; Viridiplantae; Streptophyta; Magnoliopsida; Malpighiales; Euphorbiaceae
Source: RNAcentral
CCCAUGUUACAGAAUAUAUUUACUGGUGGAACAGACAAUAAUGCAGCUGCUGUGAUUUGGGCCAUGACAUUCCUGAUGAAGAAUCCGAUAAAAAUGAAGAAAGCUCAAGAAGAAGUCAGGCGUAUUGCAGGAAAGAAAGGUUUUAUAAAUGAAGAUGAAAUCCAAAAACUAUCUUAUCUGAAAGCAGUGGUGAAGGAGACAAUGAGAUUACAACCUACAAUUCCCAUAAUCCCAAGAGAAACAUCUCAGCAUUGCAAUUUAGAUGGUUUCCAGAUACCUCCCAAAACUGUAGUUCAUGUGAAUGUAUGGGCAAUUGGAAGAGACCCUGAAGUUUGGGAAAACCCAGAAGAGUUUUGUCCUGAGAGAUUCAUCAAUAAAUCUAUUGAUUUGAAAGGGCAAAAUUUUGAGCUAAUCCCAUUUGGAGCUGGUAGAAGAGUGUGUCCUGGUAUGGUUAUGGGCCUGACAACUGUGGAGUUAGCUCUUGCUAAUUUACUUUACAUAUUUGACUGGGAAUUGCCUAUUGGAAUGAGC